GGGGGUGUACUGGCUUCGACAGGAUGGUGAAAGUCGAGUAGAUGCGUGUCGAGCUACGCUGGUGGAGCUCGUUAAUACAACUGGCGGACAAACAACUGGCGACUCUUUUGAGUAUCGCAUGGCUGCGUAAGUAAACACUUACCCCAUCAUCGGACGAUAGUUUACCUUUCGGGUAUCGUUUUGGUGUAACCCUUAGAUAGGUUGGUGCUGGAGAUGUGCAAACAGGUCAAAGGUACGAGACAAACACUGAUUGCAAGGGAAAUGACCUGUCUGUGGGUGAACACUUCUCAUUACCAUAUACAGACUUUGCACGGAGAUUCUGCUGUCUUUCCAUUUUGGACGCGGGUUCGACUCCCGCCACCUCCACAA
This 369-nucleotide transfer-messenger RNA is filed under the name Bacteroidota (CFB group bacteria). RNAcentral's name for it is "JAEUSM01 sp016788785 Standard tmRNA". It matches the Rfam family "transfer-messenger RNA". Rfam says of the family: Bacterial tmRNA, also known as 10Sa RNA or SsrA, is named for its dual tRNA and mRNA-like properties. Its role is to liberate the mRNA from a stalled ribosome. Lineage: Bacteria; Pseudomonadati. The record is from RNAcentral. RNAcentral also lists the same sequence under 1 other name.